UUGUCAGCACUGGGACCCUCAGUCCUCUGUCCAUUGACAGGACAGGUACAGCACAGGCAACAGCAGUGCGAGCCUUCCACGCUGCUUCCCCAACACACUACAGCCCUAUCUCAAAAGGUCUGUUCAUAUUGUUGCUGGGGAUGUGAAUGGCAGCUUGGGUAGACAUACCCGUGCUCUCUGCGCUCUAGC
RNAcentral lists this small RNA (189 nucleotides) under Chrysemys picta bellii (western painted turtle). RNAcentral describes it as "TUC338 (ENSCPBG00000006366.1)". The record is from RNAcentral. Lineage: Eukaryota; Metazoa; Chordata; Testudines; Emydidae.